CAGUAGCCGCGGUAAUACGUAGGGUGCAAGCGUUAAUCGGAAUUACUGGGCGUAAAGCGUGCGCAGGCGGUUAUAUAAGUCAGAUGUGAAACCCCCGGGCUCGACCUGGGACCUGCAUUUGUGACUGUAUAGCUAGAGUACGGUAGAGGGGGAUGGAAUUCCGCGUGUAGCAGUGAAAUGCGUAAAUAUGUGGAGGAAUACCGAUGGCGAAGGCAGCCCCCUGGGAUAACACUGACGCUCAUGCACGAAAGCGUGGGGAGCAAACAGGAUUAGAUACCCCGGUAGUCCCUGUCUCUUAUAA
RNAcentral lists this ribosomal RNA (301 nucleotides) under uncultured bacterium. Its description in RNAcentral is "partial 16S ribosomal RNA". It matches the Rfam family "Bacterial small subunit ribosomal RNA", at positions 509 to 809 of the family's 1533-position model. The record is from RNAcentral.